Molecule: transfer RNA, 71 nt
Filed under: Nannizziopsis barbatae
Lineage: Eukaryota; Fungi; Ascomycota; Eurotiomycetes; Onygenales; Nannizziopsiaceae
Description: tRNA-Met
Rfam family: tRNA
About the family: Transfer RNA (tRNA) molecules are approximately 80 nucleotides in length.
Source: RNAcentral
UGCGAGUUAGUGUAAUAGUAGCAUAUUUGGCUCAUGAUCAAAUGGUUUAGGUGCAAGUCCUAAGUUCGCAA